GGCCCGUUAGCUCAGUUGGUUAGAGCGUCGUGCUAAUAACGAAGGUCGCGGGUUCGAUCCCCUCACGGGCCA
Molecule: transfer RNA, 72 nt
Filed under: Trichonephila inaurata madagascariensis
Lineage: Eukaryota; Metazoa; Arthropoda; Arachnida; Araneae; Nephilidae
Rfam family: tRNA
About the family: Transfer RNA (tRNA) molecules are approximately 80 nucleotides in length.
Source: Rfam by way of RNAcentral